CCUACGGGUGGCAGCAGUGGGGAAUAUUGCACAAUGGGGGAAACCCUGAUGCAGCGACGCCGCGUGCGUGAAGAAGUAUUUCGUAAUGUAAAGCUCUAUCAGCAGGGAAGAAAAUGACGGUACCUGAGUAAGCAGCCCCGGCUAACUACGUGCCAGCAGCCGCGGUAAUACGUAGGGGGCAAGCGUUAUCCGGAUGUACUGGGUGGAAAGGGAGCGUAGACGGCAGUGCAAGUCUGGAGGGAAAGGCCGGGGUUCAACCCCCGGACUGCUCUGGAUACUGUACGGCUGGAGAGCAGGAGAGGUAAGCGGAAUUCCUAGUGUAGCGGUGAAAUGCGUAGAUAUUAGGAGGAACACCAGUGGCGAAGGCGGCUUACUGGACUGUAACUGACGUUGAGGCUCGAAAGCGUGGGGAGCAAACAGGAUUAGAUACCCUAGUAGUC
Molecule: ribosomal RNA, 440 nt
Filed under: uncultured bacterium
Lineage: Bacteria
Description: partial 16S ribosomal RNA
Rfam family: Bacterial small subunit ribosomal RNA
Source: RNAcentral